CCGCCCCCCGGCAACGGCCCGAGCCUGUGUUUGCUCCGCUCGGGGGGGGGCUCGGUUUGGGUGUUUUCUCUCCCCCCCCCCCUCCCGCGCCGGGAGCUCCAGGCGGCUCCCGUACGGCUCCCGGGGCCUUCACCCCUCGGGGGGCUCGGCCCGCCCCUUUCGCGGGGCGCUGUGGGAAGGGCGGGGGCGGGGCCCGGGGGUCGAAGAGCCCCAGCCGGGGCUCGGGCAGCUCUCGCUGCCCCCGGGCUCCUCUGGCGCCGGGGCUCCCGUGUUCCCUCGGGCGGUCGCAGCUCUGGGGCUGUCUCAGCCCCCCGGGCAGGCGUGCUCUGGCGUUUAGAGAAGCGGAGGCGUUGCCUGAGCAGCGGAUCCGCCGCUCGAGGGCGAGGAGCUGGGCCGACAACGGGCCGCUGCAGACUCUGGUCAGGGUACGAGGCUGCUCCCUGGGGAGCCGGCGCAGGGGGCGCGGAGGGCAACUUCUGUUCCCGAGGUGGUGCCUACAGUACAGCUAUCUCUUCGAAGACAGUUUGGUUUAGGUCAGAGAAUGUUUAGCCUGGACUGAAUCAGCCUCUGUUUCUAUUUCUGGAAAUCGUCGGUCCUGUGCAUCAAGCCCGGAAAAAAGGAAAUAUGAACCAAAGGACCUGGGGCCUGCAGGGCUAGGAAAAUAUUUGAGAAGAGGUUCAGUGGGGAAAUGACUGUUUGUCUGUGGGGCGUCCAGGCAAGCAACCCAGCUGCUAGAAAGCGGCGCUGUCCCCAGGGUGGCCUCGGCGGUCCCGUCGGAGUCGGGGGAACAAGGACAAGGCAGGGGGAAGCAUCUGGCCUGCCAUGUGGACCGUGACUGUACAAAGCACGUGUGAUGCACUGCAAGUUUACCUGUUUAAACUGUGAGUUAAAGAAGGUGUGCAGUUGCUUUGUAAACAGCCGACGCUCUAAAGCUACACCCAUCUAAUUGCUAGCUGUAUUAAAUCUAUCGUAUUGCUGUUUCUGCAUUAAAAAAGAAAAAAACCAACACACCUAUGUAAGCACGUCUAAGUACAA
Molecule: non-coding RNA, 1035 nt
Organism: Phalacrocorax carbo (great cormorant)
Lineage: Eukaryota; Metazoa; Chordata; Aves; Suliformes; Phalacrocoracidae
Source: RefSeq, a predicted model, not a curated record